This 466-nucleotide ribosomal RNA is filed under the name uncultured bacterium. RNAcentral describes it as "partial 16S ribosomal RNA". It matches the Rfam family "Bacterial small subunit ribosomal RNA", at positions 28 to 507 of the family's 1533-position model. The record is from RNAcentral.
GAUGAACGCUGGCGGCGUGCUUAACACAUGCUAGUCGAACGAUGAAGCCCAGCUUGCUGGGUGGAUUAGUGGCGAACGGGUGAGUAACACGUGAGUAACCUGCCCUUGACUCUGGGAUAAGCCUGGGAAACUGGGUCUAAUACUGGAUAUGACUUCUCAUCGCAUGGUGGGGGGUGGAAAGAUUUAUUGGUCUUGGAUGGACUCGCGGCCUAUCAGCUUGUUGGUGAGGUAAUGGCUCACCAAGGCGACGACGGGUAGCCGGCCUGAGAGGGUGACCGGCCACACUGGGACUGAGACACGGCCCAGACUCCUACGGGAGGCAGCAGUGGGGAAUAUUGCACAAUGGGCGCAAGCCUGAUGCAGCGACGCCGCGUGAGGGAUGACGGCCUUCGGGUUGUAAACCUCUUUCAGUAGGGAAGAAGCGAGAGUGACGGUACCUGCAGAAGAAGCGCCGGCUAACUACGUG